This is a long non-coding RNA of Brachypodium distachyon (stiff brome), 1447 nucleotides long. RefSeq lists it as uncharacterized. The record is from RefSeq and is a predicted model, not a curated record. The transcript is spliced from 2 exons. Lineage: Eukaryota; Viridiplantae; Streptophyta; Magnoliopsida; Poales; Poaceae.
CCGCGAUCUCCUUCCCUUCGCUGCGGCCGCCGCCGCCUCCCACCCCCACAGCCCUCCUCUGCCCCAACACCCAGCGGCCGCCGAAGCCUCCUCCACCCCACGGCCCUCCUUUAUCCCGCCUCUGUCUGGCUCGCCCCUGGUCGCCGCGAUCUCCUUCCCUUCUCUGCGGCCGCCGCCACCUCCCACCACCGCGGCCAUCCUCUGCCCCGCCACCCAGCGGCCGCCGACGCCUCAUCCACCCCACGACCCUCCUCUGUCCGACUCGCCGCUCGCCCGCCGCCGCCGCCGCGAUCUCCACCUACGAUCCGCGCACGCCGUCGGAGGCACGCGAUGAGGAGGCUGCCGACGCUGCCUCCUCCCCUCCGAGGCCCUCCUCUGACCCGCCUCCCACCAGGCCCUCCGGCCCUGCCUCUGCCCGCCACGCCCGUUUGCCAGCCGUCACCGGCGAUCUCCACCUGCGAUCCAUGGCCGCCGUUAGAGUCUCCCGGGUCCUCAAUUCCGUGACACCGUCCUGGAACAAUAAUUGAUCAAGUAUGUAUAGAAUUCACCAUUCUGCAUGCUUCGUAUAGAAAUAAGGUGCAAUAUCCUAUUUGUAUUCAUUGACAUUCUUUUGUUAUAACGGUCCAAACCUACGACACAUCAUCCAAGUCACAAUAUUUAUCGUCAUAUUGUUUGUAUUGACCUGAUGAUUAUAUUCUUCUUAAAGUUGAAAUCUACUCAAGCUAAAGUUGAUUUGAAUGAGGUGCAGAUGUGUUGUUUCAAUUUUGUGCAAUUGAAGUUUGUUUGUGUCACGUCCGACUCAUGUUCGCGUGGUUUUCCGGUGAAGAUGCAUCUGAAGCUUCAGUUUUGUGUUUGUAUAAUUAAAUUAGCAUUUGUAAUUAGGUGACUGAUCAAUGGAGAAAUUCUUUGCUCUCAGCGCAGAGUAAGAAACAACAAGCACAAAGGAGCGGCUCUUGGAAGAGCUGGUUGGGCUAUGUGCUCUACCUUCUCCACAGUUCAUUUCAGAAAUCAUUGGUUUCAGAUUCUUUAGGUUCUUUUUUCUCCAAAUAGUGAGCAGGUUUGCACCAGGCUCUCACUUCACUCUUGGAAAGAAACUUGGAAUUGGUAGCCCACUGUUGGGAAUAUAGAAAUAUACAUGUUGUAUUCACGGUGAGAAGAAUUGGAUCGAAGUUUGAUGUUGCUGCGUGCAAGGAUUUUCAGUUUCUGAGAUGCUUUCUCUUCUAGCGUUUUGUUUCAUGGUGCACCAGAUUGUAGUGAUUAGGCCUCAUGUUCUUUUUUCUCCAAAUAGUGAGCAGGAUGACUAUGAAGUUAUUCGGAAAGCUGGGAGAGGCAAAUACAGUGAAGUCCUUGAGUGAAUCAAUGGUAACAAUAGUUAGAAAUGUGUUAUUAAGAUACAAUAAUGAGAAAUGUUAUUAAGAGCUUCAGUAGCGAUUUGAGAGAACAAAAA